Indicator indicator is the source of this 438-nucleotide long non-coding RNA. RefSeq lists it as uncharacterized. The transcript is spliced from 3 exons. The record is from RefSeq and is a predicted model, not a curated record. NCBI's taxonomy places the organism in Eukaryota, Metazoa, Chordata, Aves, Piciformes, Indicatoridae.
CGUGCUGCUGGGACCAUGUGCUGCGGUGAUUCUUCUGAGAUGGAUUCAGGAGCCCCGGCCUGCGGAGUCUCCUCCACUGAACACGGUCUCUGAGGGAGGCUGCCUGCCCGGCAGCCGGCGGACCGGAGGGAGCUGCUGGGAAGAAACCAGACAGAGACUGAAGACAGACAUGAAACACCCAGGGGAGCUGAAGAUUUCCUGCCUAAAGCAUGCAGUGUCCAUCGCACUCUGGAACAGCCACACCAGCAGUUGCCCAAGAGCAGGAAGAAACUGUCUGCAGCAGAAUACAGCAGAGCCUCGAGCCUUGCCUGCAAACCCCAGGGCAGCUGCUUUGGCCUACCUUCUAACCUUCACUGGCAUGCUUGGACAGAGAUGUCAGCAGCCACAAUGCUGCCUUUGCUGUCAUGGCAGGAAUAAAUGUGCUGAGUUGCAAAGCUU